Long non-coding RNA from Dromaius novaehollandiae (emu), 5385 nucleotides. RefSeq lists it as uncharacterized. The transcript has 3 exons. The record is from RefSeq and is a predicted model, not a curated record. Lineage: Eukaryota; Metazoa; Chordata; Aves; Casuariiformes; Dromaiidae.
CACUCAUAGUAAAUAUAAGCACUUUGUGAGAACGCAAAUUAACUGCAGAAUGUAAUGGAGGUUGCCAAGGGUAUUUUUUUUAUUGUUGACUGUAACAUGAAGUCUAUAAUAUGUGUACAGUAACAAAUGGAUCAUGAGACAGGGAGAAAUAAUCCCAUAAAAGGAUGCUGUGACAUCAGAAACCACAACAGCAAAACUGAUGUCACCUGAACCUGGUUUUAUUGUGCUUUCAUUACAUUUCAUUUUAAAAGGAGCUUUGGUUUAGCUUGAAAUUUUUCUUUAUACUUUUAUAAUGUGUGGAUUAGUGAAAGGAAAAAUUAAAGUCUGUAGAGCUAUGAAAGAAUUACUUUUAUUUUUCUGUUUUUUAAGGCUUACAGACCUUAGCCUUCAGUUGUAGUUAGAUUAAUAAUCAUGGGUUUGUCUCUGAUGCUAUGGCUCUUUCAUAAUAUUUGGUUGCUUUUUCAUUACAAUAACAGGAUUUUGGAGAGUUUCUUGUGGUAAAUUUAGUCUCUAGAAAGAAACCUCAAAACCUUGAAGCUAAUGUUGAAUCCUGCAAGGCAUAGAUUGUUGUAUUAUUGUAUCCAUGAUCUGAAUAAUAGUAUUAAUACUUUUAAUAGCAUUAAUGCUUUGACUCCAGUAGCAGCUAAAGACUGUGCUGUGGACACAUUAGGGCAUCUAUUGUAUAAAAAAGAAAAGUUUAUAAUGGGAAAACAAUACAACAGGAAAGGAGACUACUUCUAGCAGGCUAAACCACAUUGAAGGUGAAGUGUAUGCUUUGAAGUGCUUUGUUGGCCAAGGCCAGUUUGUUCAAGCACGUAUCCAACCCACACUGAGUUGUAAAAAAUAUUUUCACUUCAGUGAAACUGAGGCUUUUUAUCACUUUGAUAUUCAUGGAAAGCAAAGUCUAAGCUGAUGCUCUCAAGCAGCUGCGGUGGAAGAGAUGGGUUUGAUAUUGCUCAUGUUCUCCUCCUGACAACGAAAGCCAUGCAAAUCCUAUCAGAAGCCGUCUGCAACUCACAGCUCAGAAACAAAAUGACAGUUCAUUUUUCAGUGAUCAGCCUGUGAGUAAUCCAUAUAGUAGGAUGUUUCUAGGCUUGUUGGGAGGGUUUGGUUGUUUUCCUCUGUAGGAGUUUCUGAAAAGUAUGUAGAGAAAGCUCAUAUGCAGUGUUCUCAGAUUUUUUUUUUCUUAUUUUCUAGCCUUUCUGUGAGAAAGACAGGUGUUUUCACUCACAACAGAAGUCCUUGGCCAUGCUUUACUCACCCAAGUGCUUUAGCAGGUGAUACCAAACAGCUGUCAAGAGAGGUCCAUAGGAUGAAGGCAAGAACAAGCCUGUGAAUGGAGGAGCAAUGUUUGAAGGACGAAUCAGGAGCAAACAGCAUCUAGGCAGCCACACACGAUCUGUGUGCUGAAAGGCAGGCACCCGAAAGCCUGACAUGUGGCUGUGAAGCAUGGUCAGGGUUUUCUUCUUCAUUUUUCCCCUUCAUAUCCUCCCUUCAAUUCCCUUCUCAACAGAUACUUGUCACUUCUCCAGGAAAGUGUUAAACUACAAGCAGAAAUUCAAGUGUGACCUUUUCCACAGGCCAUGUGAAAUUCGGUUCCUCCGGCUGACAGCUAAUCAGCCUUGUGAAGAACGGAGGGAGACACAACCUCUGCGACCAGGCAGGGCCGUCGCUCGUCGCUGUCGGUGACAGCCGUCCUCCGCCGGGCUCCAGACUCCUUGCCCGCGCGGUCGGAGCGCCGCAGCUCGGACCCGGACCCGGAGUAAGUGAGGGUCCCUAAAGCUCAACCUCGUUCCUAGGCUGAAAGGAGAAAGGAACCUCCUCUCUUGACUGGUUAUUUUUUACCACCUUAGGACUCUUUUUAUUUCUUUUUAAUGAAACCCCUCAGGAAGCCCGUUCUGCAGCCGUAGCUAAUAUUACAUCCAUCCAGCAGCACUGCGGCUCCACAAAGUAUUCCCUUGCGAGGGUCGUGUUUCCCUGUUUUCUGAACAGCAGGACAGGUCCUGAGCUUUCCUUCCCACUCGCAGGACUUGCACCCAACCGCUGCAGCCACGAGCACGGGCAGGCUCUUCCCUGGGAGCGGAAAUUUGCUCUGCUCGUGAAUUUGCUCAAGGGUCGGGUUAGCAGAGGCACAGCCACAGCAGGGCUCCUGGGGUCUCUUCCUCCCUCGGACACUCGUGUGGGCCGUGGGGAGCUCUUCCUGAGCUGUCUCCUGCCAGUCUCCUUGCUCUUUUCCUGUCCACAGAGAAGCUCCUCAGCUCUUCCAAAUUGCAGGGCAGCCGGAGCACCCACACUUCACCAGGGGCUCUUCACAGACCCAUGGAGCUGAGCUUGAGUCACACCUUACCAUGUGAUCUGUUAAAUGAAGGAGCACCAACAGGAAUGAAGAGAAAAGGCAGAAUUUUAGGUUAUUGCUUUCAAUCGCUUAUGCAGAAGACCAGGAACGGGGGAGCUAGCAACUGGAAAUGAAUAUAGGAGAAGCCAGCCCUGCCUGGCUUAGUAGUGAAAAUUAGUUUGGGAAAGAGUGUGCUAAAUCCAAUAAGCAUAUAUAAGAAAUUGAAAAUAGGAAUAUUUCACUGUAAGAGUUAUGUGCAAAUUAAACGAUGGCAAAGAGGGCAGCUCUUAUUCAAAGCCAAAAGGUAUCAUUAGGCGCGUUCUGCUUCCCGCGGCACAGCCAAUACCUGUGGAGUUGUGUUACAUUACUGAAGGAGUGGACUUUGCUUUUCUUUUAAAUGAAUACUGUCUUUCCUCUUGCACCACAGGAGAAUAUCUGACCAAACCUCAUAAGACAUGUUAUAUUAUUUCGUUGGGGCUGGAUUUUUUUUCCAAUUUGCAAAUUUUGUGGCUUAGAUGUAUUUAGCAGUGAGAAAUAAAAUAGCUGGAAACCCCAGGACUACUGAGAUCAAAUUAAGGAUAGGAAGAUUUUAGUUUGAGUGUCUGAUUGGUGUGAUUUAUUAGGCUGGAGAAGAGGUAGCCAUGGCAAAUAGGGGAUUGUAUUUCUUGAUAUAUAUAUAAACUGCAUCACUCUUGUAUAUGAAAGGAGGGCACUAUUGUCAGUUUAGUGCAUCGGGUGUUGCAAUGGAUUCCUUUCCUCUUAAGAUCCGAUGCCCACGGGCCAGAUUCUUAAUCCACAGCUCUGUUAUUCACAAGUGGUCCCACCGAAACCCACGGGGACCUGCCAUUCGGCCUGAGACCAGCCGGCUUACAGCCCGCAAAGCAAGCGGUGCCUUUGAAGGCUGCCAUGCUACCGCCAUCAGCCCGAGGCGGCGGGUGGAGAGCAUUAACCCUGAGAUAGCGUUUCACCUUUUUGUUGAAUAAAUAACAAUUUCAGCUUAGGCGCUCUUAUGCCGGAACGCUGUCCUCGGCAUAGCGGUAAGCCCCUCUGGGGGUGGGAGGUGGGCAGCUGGCAGGCUGUAGGGCCUCGCUCGGCUGCAGCUGGUCCCUGAGCACGUGUGGGCAGCGGUCUGGCUGCUUUUGUCCCGUGACUGCCCAGCGCUGAGCACGCUGGAGGCACAGCCGUGGCUGAGAUCCUUCCACGUUAUGAUAAAACAGACUGUAUAUGUUAUUCCUCUUCCUGCCUCACUUGAUGUACAGUAAAAAGACAAAUUAGUGACAAGCCUGAAAACAGAGUGGAGGCUAAGCGUGCUUCACAGUAUGAUCCAUUGGUAUUGCUCCAUCAGAAAUGGCCAAUUAAACCAUGGUUUAAGCAGCACAAGCUCUCUGUGCAGCAGUGUAAUAUCAGUUAUCUGCCUCAGUGAUUUCCAAAGCAAUCAAGGACUUCUGGUGAUUACCAAAGAAUUUCUCUUACUUAAAAGCCAGACUUUCACUAAUCCAUCAGUGACUCUUGUGGCACCUUGAUUGAAAUGACUGCAUCAGGCCUGUGCCUUCUCCCAUUUGUCUUGCAGCUGAACGGCAAGGAGGAAUGAAUCCUGGGCUUCUGCAGCCGGCAGUGCAAUGCAGAACGGUAGUAAGGGCUCGGGUUUGUUUAUUUACAUCCCAACACCUUUGGUUAUGGUGGACGCCUCGCACGGAGCUGGGGAGCUCGUUAGCUGGUCUCCUGGCAGGUCAAAGUGAUGUCUCUGUGAAUCGUUUCCUACAGAUCCAAACUGAUGUGCCUGCUGGUGAAUGUGUGAAAAAUGGCACAUGAAUUCAAAGGAUCAUAAAGUGGUUAUAGCCAGCAUGAAAAGUGUUUCUGCCAAAUUGCACUGUAACUCCUUGUUAGAUUUACAAAUACUGAAUUGCUUUUACAUUUCUCUGUUAUCAUUACGGCGAGAAUCCACAGAGGAAUAAACGCUGAGUUAUUGCAAGCUAAGCUCCCCCAUACCUUGGCCAUCAGAUGCUCUACUGCUGGUGCCCCAGCCGUGGUGGGCACCGUCACGUCCCUCGCGCGGAUCUUGUCCCCAGCCCCGGACGGAGCUGGCGUGCCAGCCACCGCCGUGGUGCUGCUGCAGCCCUCCUGGGCGGUGGAGGCAGCUCGGAGGGCAACGGCACAUGGGAGAAACCCUGCAGAGAAAGGAGGGAGGCCCAGGUGUAGAAAGGAUGGUGCUUUCCUUACAAAUGCUCUUCCCGAGGCCGCACCUCAGCAGGGCGGGAAGGCAGGGUCACGUCAGCGGUGUCGUUUCUGUCUCCCCCAGCGAGUUCCUCCUGGAGAAAUCGCAGAGGGGUGCUGCCGGCUGCCAGGCCAUCGCAGCGUGACCGAGCUGAGGGGAUGGCAGCCCAGCGAGACCCCGUGCGCAGGAUACUGCAUGCUGCGCUCACCAUGGGCCCAGGCUGGCUCCUUGGCAGUAGCGAUGCUCUUUUCCCACCUUCCUCCCAGAUUUUGGAUCGCUCGUCAGAGGGGAGAGAUGGCAGCAGCUUUACUUGGUGGGUUAUCCGUGAGAUUUGGACCUUGAUACCCUAGGUAGGCAAGCUGAGAUGGAUAUCUGUUCACCUGAGCACUUUUCAUUUGGAAAAGCACCUGUUGCCUUUACCUGCUUUAAACUGUUGAAGUCAUUUUCCUAAUUGGCUUGCAGCUGUUGUAAUGUAAGAGUUUUAACACUGAAUAAAGAUCACAUAUGAUUAGAUAAGCAGUUUGAAAGCUGAGAGGGCUGAAUCACUACAUUUGUUAAUUGUGCUGUCUCGUUUAUCUUUGUGCUUUAUUUAUUACACUACGGUUCCUGAAACCUUAAUAAAAUUGUUUCACAAAGAAAAAAAUCAUCAAAAAAAGUGCACAUCACUUUUUUAAUGAGUUCAGCCUAGGUUGUGGAGCUUGCUUUGUGCACCAAAAACUGUGGAUUUGUGACCCUCUAUAUGAAGCAGACCCCUGUUUUCCACCUUGAAACUCUGACAGAUCCUCUCAGAGAAGAUCGCAGGUAUAACUGGAUAAAUCAAACUGAUAAUUUAAAC